GUGGCUACACUCGCGGGCUCAGAGGACCUGCGGAGGUAGCCUGGAGACGGAGUCCGACCGGAGGAAGGUUCAGCCCUGCAGAUGGGAGCUUAACCUGCCUAGGAGGGCUGCAAGGCUGCUGUGUCUUCAGCGAGACCCAGAGGGCAGUGAAGUUGGUGCCAUAACAUCAGUGUGAUGACCACUCAUUUUCUUCCAGAGAAUGUGGGCAACCUUGAAUGAUAAAAAUGAAGCCUUGUGAGUGAGAUGCUGAGCAGAAAUAGGCUUCUUACAGGAUCAAAAGGACAUGGGUAAGAAAGCCAUUCCAGAAAAGCAGAAUCAGAGACCAUUUGGGUGAGUGGCCCAACCAGCCGCUUCCACUUUCCUGCUAGUCUGGCUGAACCAGUCUUCACCAAGUAGACAUGGCCAAUGUUUCCAUACCUGUGAGUGUGUCUAGGGAAUGUUACUUUCCAGUCUCCCUGGCUAGGGAUAAUUAAAAGAGGGCAGAUCAGGAAGAGAACAUUAAAUGCACAAUGUCUGCCCUCCAGGGACAGGAUUUUCCUCUGGGGCCAGGAUGUGGGUACAAAUUUUGGGUAGUCCCACUGUCCAAGAACCAUAUACAUUGUGCCCUUGGAUCCUGACAUUGUGACUGGAGAAGGUGAACUGGCAAGAGACCAGAGCUUCCCUGGAUGCUGGAUUGAAGUCAGGAGCCUUAUGCAGUUUUCUGUCAGGUGCCUACAUCACGCAGUGGGACCCUCGAGGGACACUGCUCACAUUUACAGCACCAUGGUCCAUGCCAAGUGAUCCCAUUCAUAAAAUUCCUAGACAUUUUAUUUGUGUACCAUUCAAAUUUGGAAAGCAGUUUUUGUACCUUAUUAUUCCUGAUAGAUAGUGUCAUCUUUCAGUAUUUGUGGAGCUUGGUUCUAGAACCCACUAAAGGUACCAGAAUCCCCAGAUGCUCAAGUUCUUUUUUUUCCCAUUAAGUUUAUUGGUACAUUUUAGGUAUAAAAUACAGUUACAUUCAUCACUGGGAUCUUGUACCUUUACAUGAUGUAUCUUGGUUCUUAUUUUUUCCCCAUUCCCCUGCCCUCCCUUCACCGCCUCCACCCUUCCCUAUUUACAAAGACUUUGUUUCCAUUUUUUUCCUUUUCUCAUAUUUUUUCUUUUCCCUUCUUUCCUUUCCCCUACCCCUCCCACUUCCCCUACUCCUUUAGACCUUUUCUUCCUAUUACACAAUAGCAAUUAUACAUUUGUAAAAAAUUACUAUAUCAAGAUUUAGAGGACAUUAUCACAGAUUUUACAGAAUUUAAAAGGAUAUAGAAAGCAUAUUACAAAAAUCUUUUUUGAAAUAAAUUGGACAACUUCUAAGAAGUACCUUGGAAGACAAAUUAAUGAAACUGACUCUGGAGGAAAUAUAAAAUUUGAAUAGCACCUAUUAAAGAAAGUAUAUUCCUAGCUUGAAAACCUACCUAUAUGACAACAGCAGGCUCAUAUACAUUUUAACUGAUAAAUUAUAUCAAACAUUUGAGGCAGAAAAAAGGAACACUUCUCCCCUCAUUUUAGGAAAUCAACGUUGUGCUAAUCCUAAAACUGGAUAAAGAUAAUAGAAGAGAAAAGUAUGAACAUAAAUAAAAAUUUGUUUAACAAAAAAAACCAUUAGAAGUCAGAUCUGGCAGUAUAUAAUAAGUGGUUUUAUUAUAGGGAUGGCAGUGUGGUUCAGCAUUGGAAGAUCUACCCCCAUAAGUCAUUAUUUUAAGAAAGGAAAGGAAAAAGCCAUAUGAUCCUAUCAGUAGUUGGAGAGAAAGUAUUGAACUAAAUUCUACAGCUGUUCAUGGUAAAAGCUAUCAGGAGAUUAGAAGUAGAACAGAAACUUCUCAACAGAUCAAAGACAUGUACUCCAUACUUCCAGCAAAAACACCUUAUAUGAAUGGAAAACAUACAAUGCUUUCUCCCUAAGGUGGGGAACAAGGGUAGAUAUGCCUACUCUUCAUCUGUCCAUUAAACUUUGAAACCUAGGCCCAAACCAAAAUAGUCUGGCAAUAAAAUGACACAAUUAGGAUAGGAUUGUCAAGGUAGAAGCAAAAUCUUUAUAUGUAGAUGAAGUGAUCAUCUACAGAGAAAAUACUAAGAAAUCUCUAGGAGCCCCUAGAACUUGUAUUUGAAUUUAGCAGGAUUAGAAAACACAAGGUAUAUAUAAAAAUUCAAAUCUAUGUGUACUUGCAAUAAAUGAAGAAUUGGCUAUUGAAAUUUAAAAGUUAUGUAGGAGUACAAAGGACAUGGAAAAGUAAAAAGAAAAAAAUAACAGUAUUGAAAGACAUUUAUUACCUAAUUUUAAGACUUCUUCUAAAGCUACAGUGAUCAGGGCAAUGUUGGGAUAAGGAAAGACAUAGAGAUCAAUGGAAUAAAACAGAGCAUUUGGAAAUAGAACCACACAUAUAUGGUCCAAUGAUUUUUGAAAGAUUAUUUAACAUUAACAUUUUAUAGAACAUAACUCAAGAGCAGAGGAAAAGAUAAUGUUUUCAACAAAUAGUACUAGAACUCCUGGUAUCCGUAUGUGAAAAAUUAACCUCAACCCUUUACUUCCAUACAUAAAAAUAACUUGAAAGGAUCUAUGAACCUAAAUAUGAAAGACUAAAACUAUAAAACUUUAGGAAGACAUUAUAAGGGAAAAUGUUCAUGAAUUUAGGGUAGGCAAGAAUUUCCUAGGAUACAAAAAACAUGAUGUAUAAAAGAAAAAAUUGAUAAAUGAGAUUGCAUCAAAAUUUAGAACUUUAAAAGACAUGGUUAAGAAAAUGAAAAGUAGUCCUUAACUAGAACAUAUUUAUAAUACUUAUACCCUAUUACCAGAAUAUAUAAAGUACUCUUACAGCUCAUUAAUAGACAGCUCAAUUAAAAAGUAGACACAAGAAGAUGACAAAUGGCCAGCACAGUGCAAGGAAAUGUGUGCAACAUUAGAAUCAGAAAAAUACUAAUCAGUACAAUAACAAGAUUGUAUUGUACACUCAUUAGGGAGAUGAAGUUAAAAGUUUUAAAAGAACAGAUGUCAGCUUAGGUGUGAACCAGUUAGAACUUUUGAAUGCUGCUAAUGUGAAUGUAAAAUGAUAAAACCAUUUUGGAAAACAAUAUAGAAAUUACUUUUAUUACUAUUAAGAACCAACAGUUCUGUUCUUAAGUUUUUACCUGAGAGAAAUGAAAACACAUGUUCAUAAUAGAUUUGUACAUACAGGUUGACUGUCCCUUAUUUGAAAUUCAUGGGACCAGAAGUGUUUCAGAUUUUGGUUUGAAAUCCACUUGAUCUGCAAAGAGGAUAGCUACUCCUGCAUUUUUUCGGGUUCUUGUUGCAUGGAGUAUUGUUUUCCACCCUUCAACUUUCAAUCUAUGAGUUUCUUUUUUAAAUUAAGUGUGUUUCUUUUAUGCAGCUUAUUGUUGGAUCUUGCUUCUUGACCCAUUCUGCCAGUCUAUUUCUUUUGAUUGGUGAAUUGAGACCACUAACAUUCAUGGUUAUAACUGAUACAUAUUGACUUAUCAUUGUCAUGACUUUUUCUUUUUGUUGGAUUCUCCCCCUUUACAUUUAAUUUCUUGUCAUGCCAGAUGGGUUCAUUCUGCUUUGCUUCCUGGGGUUGUGAUCUUCAAUGUCUGUUCCUAGGCUAUUGUGUAAAAUUCUUUGGAGUGCUGGUUUGAUAUUCCUGAAGUUCCUAAGGUGCUCUUUGUCAUGAAAAUAUCUUCUCCAUCAAUUUUUGAAGAUAGUUUUUUAGGGUAAAUCAAUCUGGGUUGGAGGCUGUUUUCCUUCAGGGCUUGAAAUAUGUCACUCCAAGCUCUUCUUGCCUUGAGGGUUUGUGUUGAGAAGUCUGCUGUGAUUCUUCUGGGCUCUCCUUUGUAUGUGAUUUGUUUCUUUUCUCUAACUGCUGUAAAACUUUGUUCUUCUGUUGGGUUUCUGGAAUCUCAACUAUUAUAUGCCUAUGUGUAGAUUUUUUUUGAUCAAGGCUAUUUGGAGUCCUAUAUGCCUCAUUUAUCUGUAUGUCAAGCUCUUUUCCCCUGCUUGGGAAGUUUUCUGCCAUCACUUCUGUGAACAGUUUUUUUAUGUUGCCUGCACUCUCUCCUGUUUCUUCAUGGACUCUGAUUAGUCUUAUGUUAUUCUUCUUUGCAUUUUCUAGCAGCUGUUGGAUUGCUUUCUAAUGGUCCCUUACAAUUUUAAAGAAUUUUUUCUUUUCCUGGUCACUAAUUGCAAUCUUAUCUUCUAUAUCUGAAAUUCUGUCUUCACAUUGGCUCAUUCUGCUGUGUAGACUUUCAAUGGAGUUUUUAAUCUCCUGAAAGUCUGCAUCUGUUUUAUGGACUCCAUUUGUUUCCUAUGUUGGGAUUCCAUCAUGUUCCUCAGCUCCUCUAUUUUUUAAUCCAUGUCUGCUCUAGGUUUAUUAAUCAUGUCUUGCACUAUGGGCACAUCUCUGCUGUUAUCUGAGAAAUUAUUUCUGAUUUCAUUUUUUCCAGAUCCUCUUUCCUUGCCAG
RNAcentral lists this long non-coding RNA (4479 nucleotides) under Heterocephalus glaber (naked mole-rat). Its description in RNAcentral is "lncRNA (ENSHGLG00000050473.1)". The record is from RNAcentral. Lineage: Eukaryota; Metazoa; Chordata; Mammalia; Rodentia; Bathyergidae.